RNAcentral lists this long non-coding RNA (3844 nucleotides) under Triticum aestivum (bread wheat). Its description in RNAcentral is "long non-coding RNA (TAES_LNC005202)". The stretch from base 2045 to 2179 matches the Rfam family "MIR1120/MIR1122 microRNA precursor family". Lineage: Eukaryota; Viridiplantae; Streptophyta; Magnoliopsida; Poales; Poaceae. The record is from RNAcentral.
AAAGGCGCGCCAGCGCGGAGAGCGCACGAGAGCCAAAAUACUUCGCUCCAGAGACUUAGCGGCCGCCCCAGAUCUAGCCCAAAUCACCAUCUGCUCCAACCCUAGCCGCCGCCAACACGAGACGACGCCGAGCACCCACCACUGCCCGACCCCAGCCGCCCCUGACCACCCAUCGCAGCAGCUGUCCUCUCGGACCACCGCCGCCGCCGAGCACCCUCCUCCGUCGCCGUCAAGUACCCUCCUACACAGAUCUCGUCCGCGCUCCACCCAUCCCCAGCGCCGCCCAUCCCCAGCGCCGCCCAGAUGUCGCCUCUCCUUCCAUGCUUUCUCCCCGGGCAGCACUGUCUCUCCUAGGGUUUGCGCCACCGACCAUCCUAGUCGCCCCCCUCCCGUGCGUGCUCACCUCGACGUCAUGCUCUCCAGCCUAUCGUCCUUCGUCCGUGCUCCUCCGACCUCCCCCUUUUGUACUUCGAGCGUGAGGUAUGGUCCUGGUGCUUCCCGUUCUCUUGUAUUCUUUACUGUUCUUUCAAUUUUUCCAAUGAUUUGUAACACACAUGAGCACAUCUGCCAAAUCUUCUUCCUCUGCUUUGAGGAAAAUAGCAGAGCACUCUGAUGGAAGAACGUAUCUGGGACAGUCAGCCUCAGCCAGUGAAGACUAUAGCUCUAGGAAUAGUUGCCGCAUUGUUUUACUGGUAAAUACUUGUGACAAAGUGCUAUUUUCAGCUGUAAACAUUCAGCCUACACUAUGUACUGCAUGUUUUACUAAUAAUUGCUGCCUGGUAUCUUGUCUGACCUGAAACAUAUGGUCACUUUAGUAAUAGCAACAUCAAAGUAGAAAUUGGGUUGGGCAAGGAAUUCAUGAUUCUGGCCCAACUUUUGUUAGAUGUGUAAAUUGAAAAAUGUUUGUCAACUAUGAUUAUUUUGUUUCAAAUAAUAACACGUAAAAACCUUGUUUUGUUUGCAUGUUAUGGUUUAGGAGGUUGAACAGAAUAUUAAGACGCAUAAUAAGUACCUGUCUUAUUUGCUCAUGAAAAUGUUUGAUCUUAACAUAGGAGCAUGAUCUGACCCCAUGCGUAUGUUAGCAGUCUGGUUUUCAUGCCUUUUGUGAAUGCAAAGUGGCACUUGAUGCAUAGCUAGUGUCAAAAGACCUUCAUAAUUUGGACUGCUAAUUCUCGUGGAUUAUCUAUCUGUUUGUUUGAAACUGCUGUGCAUUGCCAACAUAUUUCUUCCAGCAAUUUUGCAGUUGGAUUCCUUUCUUUCCAAGUUUAAUUGUGUCAUUCUUGUAAUUUCUUUACCGUGCUAUGCAAAAUGAACCAUCUUUUGGUGGUGCUUGAGUCAUGGGCAUAGAUGCAUCUAACCAAAUAAUGCUUGCUUCUGGGAAGGCACCUAGUGUAGGUGGAGAACAUGUUCUAAGAAAGGUAUAGUACAUUUAAAUCUCGUUCUUUGCCAAAUCUUCUGAUACUGAAGUUGUCAAGGAUAUAUGCAUCUGGUCCAUACAUAACACUGUCACUGAUAACAGCGGCUCCAAAAAGAUUUUUCCGCUUCUACUAUGGGACCUUGCAUGUGGGAUGAUGAGGGCAAUCAAAGCAGGUAUGUGACACAGGGAUAGUUGAAAAGCGGCAACACCUGAUUUGAUUCUGAUAGUGUUUUCUGUUGAUCAACCCAGUCUACUGGGAGUCGUUUGCUAGGCUUUCUCCAAUCAAAAAGGCUGAGGAGGAGAAGUAGCUAAAUAGAAUUAGACUUUAUCUUGUGAAAAGGCUGAGGAGGAGAAGCAGCUAAGCAAUAGUUCGCUUUCCCUAGUUGAAAAGGUUGAGCUGAACUAGACUUUUCAAGCUUUAGUGCAUUGAGCUGGCAGCAGCAAGCUUCUAGGUAGCUAUCUCACAUUCACGUACAACUGCAAUAGGCAGUUUGUAAUCCCCUAUUAAAGGAGCCGUGCUCCUCCAUUGUAAAUCAGGGCCAUUUCAUUUCUAUCCAGCCAAGCCUCAAGUGUAGUACUACUAAAUAUACGUGUAUGUGUUUUGCUAGAAUGCUUAAGCAUAAAUAGUUAGUACUUCCUCCGUCCGGAAAUACUUGUCAUCAAAAUGGAUAAAAGGGGAUGUAUCUAGACAUAUUUUAGUUCUAGAUACAUCUCUUUUUAUCCAUUUUGAUGACAAGUAUUUUCGGACGGAGGGAGUAGCACACAACUGCUACUGUGUGAGUUCCUCUGUUCUUGUGUGUUGCCGCAGCAAGUGUGCAGCUGGCUGCUAUUUAGUCCUCUGCUAGAUUGUACAAGACAGAGAGCUAGUUACUCGCCAGUAGUUUUGGUCUAACAUUUUCUUUAGUUGGCAUCCUUCAAGGACCAUCCUUAUUAGUUACUUACAGCAAUUUUGUUGAUUAUGGAUUAUGGAUCAUCAUCAGACGGCCAUGCACAUGCAUAGAACCCACAUUUUUUUCUAGCUAGCUAGUUUCUACUCCCUUUGUCCCAUAAUGUAAGAUGUUUUUUGAUACUACACUAGUGUUAAAAAGAUGUCUUACAUUAUGGGACGGAGGGAGUAGUUGUUACUGUUUGCAGGCGUAAGAAAUGAGAACGGCACUGAAUAGCCAUGCUCAAGGCUUUUUACGUUACCAAAGAGGACGCCCCUCUACGGGGAAUCUCCAGCGGCGACAGUUAUACACUGACUGGAUUGUUGUUAUACACUGCCUGAAUAGCCUUGUUUUUAUGUUGCUACACACUGCCUGAACUGUUAAAGGCCUUGAUUGACUUUCAUUGAUUGCUAUAAUAAUGAAAAACUGUCCAGAAGCAGGACUAGUCUGUUUCUUUGAUUAUAAUAAUCAACAAUUGGUAAGUUUGUCUAGCUUAAUUGUUUCUGAAAUUUGCACAACACGUCAGGUAGAUAUAUGGUGGAAAGGUGAAGGGCACAUGUACACAUAUUUUGUUGUAUCAGUGGCUGGCUGUUCAAGCUCAUGUGAUUUAGUUUAAAAUACUGCUGUAAAUAUUGCAUCUGUGAUACGUCUCGUGAUUUUGCAAAUACUGUAUAAUAUUAUGGUUUUCACAAACUCUGGUAUUUUGUAGCUAGAGGUUUAGAAACUGUAGUUUUCGAAUACUACAAUUUUACAUAUACUACUAUGCACCCAAACAGAGCCUUUUAAAAACUGAGCAGGACUAUUGAUGUCUGGAUAGAAGUCCUUGCUGAAAAAUGCUUGGCCUGGAGCCUCCUUGCAAAGUGCCUGGACUAUGUUUAGUUGAUGUCCUGAAGAAAUGUCUAUUGACUUCUGCUAUUUGCAUUAGAACACUUGUCCUUAUGUGAUAUAAAGAUUGCAUUUUUAUUGUGCUGUCUUGUGCUUCCAUCACUAGUUGCAUGUUUAUGAUACAGCAGGUUUAUCGUUCUAUGAGAGCUCCAUUUUGAGUUUCCGGUCUGUUGCAGGUUUUCAAAGACACACAAGUUGAUGGAGGUUUGCAAGAUCUACAUACAAGCGGUUGACGGUUUGGAAGUUCUACAGCGGCUGAAGGUUUGGAGGACAUACAAUUAAGUUGGUGUAGUGAUAAUGUAGUGCACCUAGUUUGUUGAACCUGGAGACAUUGGCAAGUUCUGCUUAUUUUGGUGGUUGUUUUGGUACACAAGCCAUUGGAUGCUCAUUUUGGUUGUGUGGCACAUCUAGAAACAUACGUACUUUUUUGUGCCAGCACAAGUCCUUAUGUAUGGUUGUUUCCUAUAUGUAUGUAUCCAGAAACAUAUGUAUCUGGCAUGUUAUGUUUAUAUUGAAGGAAGUUUAAGGUUUUUAAUGAGGCCUAUGUGUAACUUCGAUUGAAGUGUAUGUCUAAGUUGUGAGAUCUACCUGAUUGCCAAAAUGGAUUCUUAAUUAG